AUUGAACGCUAGCGGGAUGCCUUACACAUGCAAGUCGAACGGAGUGGCGAACGGGUGAGUAAUGUAUCGGAACGUGCCCAGUAGCGGGGGAUAACUACGCGAAAGCGUAGCUAAUACCGCAUACUAUUGGAGCGGCCGAUAUCGGAUUAGCUAGUUGGUGGGGUAACGGCUCACCAAGGCGACGAGCCGUAGCUGGUUUGAGAGGACGACCAGCCACACUGGGACUGAGACACGGCCCAGACUCCUACGGGAGGCAGCAGUGGGGAAUAUUGGACAAUGGGGGAAAGCCUGAUCCAGCCAUGCCGCGUGUGCGAUGAAGGCCUUCGGGUUGUAAAGCACUUUUGGCGAGGAGGCGUUACCUGCAGAAGAAGCACCGGCUAACUACGUGCCAGCAGCCGCGGUAAUAC
Molecule: ribosomal RNA, 407 nt
Filed under: uncultured bacterium
Lineage: Bacteria
Description: partial 16S ribosomal RNA
Rfam family: Bacterial small subunit ribosomal RNA
Source: RNAcentral